UACGUAGGGAGCAAGCGUUGUCCGGAAUUACUGGGCGUAAAGGGUGCGUAGGCGGUUGAUUAAGUCAGAUGUGAAAUACCCGGGCUUAACCUGGGGGGUGCAUCUGAAACUGGUCGACUUGAGUGCAGGAGAGGAAAGCGGAAUUCCUAGUGUAGCGGUGAAAUGCGUAGAUAUUAGGAGGAACACCAGUGGCGAAGGCGGCUUUCUGGACUGUAACUGACGCUGAGGCACGAAAGCGUGGGGAGCAAACA
This 251-nucleotide ribosomal RNA is filed under the name uncultured bacterium. Its description in RNAcentral is "partial 16S ribosomal RNA". It matches the Rfam family "Bacterial small subunit ribosomal RNA", at positions 524 to 774 of the family's 1533-position model. The record is from RNAcentral.